AGUGAACGCUGGCGGUAGGCCUAACACAUGCAAGUCGAACGGCAGCACAGUAAGAGCUUGCUCUUACGGGUGGCGAGUGGCGGACGGGUGAGGAAUACAUCGGAAUCUACUUUUUCGUGGGGGAUAACGUAGGGAAACUUACGCUAAUACCGCAUACGACCUACGGGUGAAAGCAGGGGAUCUUCGGACCUUGCGCGAUUGAAUGAGCCGAUGUCGGAUUAGCUAGUUGGCGGGGUAAAGGCCCACCAAGGCGACGAUCCGUAGCUGGUCUGAGAGGAUGAUCAGCAACACUGGAACUGAGACACGGUCCAGACUCCUACGGGAGGCAGCAGUGGGGAAUAUUGGACAAUGGGCGCAAGCCUGAUCCAGCCAUACCGCGCGGGUGAAGAAGGCCUUCGGGUUGUAAAGCCCUUUUGUUGGGAAAGAAAAGCAGCAGGUUAAUACCCCGCUGUUCUGACGGUACCCAAAGAAUAAGCACCGGCUAACUUCGU
Molecule: ribosomal RNA, 491 nt
Filed under: uncultured bacterium
Lineage: Bacteria
Description: partial 16S ribosomal RNA
Rfam family: Bacterial small subunit ribosomal RNA
Source: RNAcentral